RNAcentral lists this long non-coding RNA (140 nucleotides) under Zalophus californianus (California sea lion). RNAcentral's name for it is "lncRNA (ENSZCAG00015005162.1)". The record is from RNAcentral. Lineage: Eukaryota; Metazoa; Chordata; Mammalia; Carnivora; Otariidae.
GCCCAAUCCUAUGACUCAUCAGGACUUAAAAAAUCCCAGUUCCUGACAAUUGCCAUGAAGGAAAUGAUUAAACAAGAUAUUAAGAUGAUGUUUUCCUUCUGAGGCCAAGAGGUGACUCCAGCAGGAAUUCUGAAGAGCCA